GAUCAUGGCUCAGGACGAACGCUGGCGGCGUGCCUAACACAUGCAAGUCGAACGAAGCUUGACGAAUGAUUUCUUCGGAAUGAAAUCUGAUAUGACUGAGUGGCGGACGGGUGAGUAACGCGUGAGCAACCUGCCCUUCGGAACGGGAUAGUGUCUGGAAACGGACAGUAAUACCGUAUAACGUAUUUUUACCGUCAUGAUAGAAAUACCAAAACUGAGGUGCCGAAGGAUGGGCUCGCGU
This 241-nucleotide ribosomal RNA is filed under the name uncultured bacterium. Its description in RNAcentral is "partial 16S ribosomal RNA". It matches the Rfam family "Bacterial small subunit ribosomal RNA", at positions 15 to 236 of the family's 1533-position model. The record is from RNAcentral.